Long non-coding RNA from Carassius gibelio (silver crucian carp), 1909 nucleotides. RefSeq lists it as uncharacterized. The record is from RefSeq and is a predicted model, not a curated record. The transcript is spliced from 3 exons. NCBI's taxonomy places the organism in Eukaryota, Metazoa, Chordata, Actinopteri, Cypriniformes, Cyprinidae.
UGUUUGUGAUUGUGAUACUUCAACUCUUAAUAUGGUUCUGCUGAUGCUGUAGCCCUUUCUCGAUAUGCUUCGGGACAGCGCUCGUUUCCACCUACGCGCAACCCACAUUGCUGUGCGCAACUUUUCAAUCUUACACCUCGGGUUGACAGAGCAUAUUCAACCCUCACCCCAACCGGGCGGAACAGUCUUACUCUGAGAGCUGGCUACCAUAGCAACGUGAUGGUAAUGGUAUCUGACGAAUUGGCAUGACGUUGUCCUGCUGACGGGAUUGGGAUGUCACAGAAAACCACAACGUGGCCCGUUUUUUUAUCCCAGCAAAUCAUGAUAAUGUUGAUUGAGAGAACGUUAUUUUAUUUACUGCUUACACUGUAACGGAUUUUUGUAAUUUGAACAGUAUUUUACUGUAAUAUGUACAGUAUAAUACUGUUAAAUGUGCCAACAGUAUAAUACUGUAAAUAGCAAAGGAUUAUGGGAAAAUAUAAGUUUAGUACUGUAAUUAUUCUCUACUGUAAAUCGAUUUACAGUAGCGACAAUGCCCGCGAAAAACUGACCAAUGACAACGGAGACUUCUUUUCAACGGUUUUUUUUUUUCAGUUGGUUGGGACAACUGAGGAAACACUCAACAAAAAGGUUAGUAUUGUUUCUGUAAUUAUUUUAUUUAAAACCGAGAUAUUUUCAAAUGCAGUCACUUAUUAACAGCAACCUAACACGAACCAGUGUUGCAAAUUGAGUGAGUUGUGAGGACAAUAUUCCUGUAGUCAAGACUUUUUUUCUGCCUGUUUGUCAAGGCCUGAGGUAAUGUUACAAUUGUUACUGCCGUUAUCAUUAUGACAACUUAAACGGGGUGAAUAAAGUUUACAUUGACUGAUAUUUAGUGACACAGAAACAAAAUAAGCUUUUUUUAAAUGCUCCUCUGCCUCUUUAAUGUAAAUUAGCUAAGCAGGAGGACUCUGUGGAAACUUUACGUUAACAGCAAACUAUCUUGAAGUACAAAAAGAAAACGUGAGGCAACACUAAAGACGGAGGUUGUAUAACAGUAUUUUGAAGUGAAUAUUUCGUUUUCAUUUAGUUUUUUGCUGUUAGAACCGCGGAACGUCGGAGGUUUGGAGUUGCUUGGAGUUCUUUUCUGGCGGUUACCGUCAUCUGAAGAAACUGGUCACUGCAACUCCAGCAGAUGCAGAGAGAAGCCUCUCUCUGCCCAGUACCCCAAGACUGAUUGCACUUGGUUCAUUCUGAGAAUAAACCCUGAUGACACCAAAUGCCUAAAUCACAAAAUCAAAAUCACAGAUCAGCCGGGCAUCUGGAAAAAGGGUGCAGAGAAAAAUCGCCAGCCUGAAUCCUCUUGUGACAUCUUUCAUCAGAGAGCUUGUUGAAUUCGAUUGGCCAAAUUAUUGAAAGAAAACACGACUAAAACAUGUUUUUACUGUUUGAUUUGUUCUGCUUUUCAGAAUGUUUUUCAGAAAUUUUUAGCCAUGUUACAAAUACACAGGAUGAAUUCAAACACAUUUGUAGAAUGUACUUUUUAAAGUAAAUGUUAAAUAAUGAAAUAGUUAAACAAUGAAACAGCACAUUUUAAUGACAAAUGUUCAUAAGAACUUAUGCAUGUUUGGGGGAUUGAAAAACGUAUAGUUUACAGCUAGUGGUUUUUCAUUCGUUAAACAUCAGUUACACCUGUUGUUAAUUUCAUUAAUUGGUUUGUCUUUUUAUACUCUGUGUUUGGUUUUGUUGCUUUGUUUUCUGAGUAUUUUGAGUUCUAUAUUAAAUAAAACUUUGACUGCUGCGAUUAGAUCAGUUUCAUCCAACUUUAUUGCAACCUUACCAGUGACAUGUAGAUUAAAAUUUUAUUAAUUUUGUAACAAUAAAGCAAAUGAAGCUAGACCCAAAUCUACAAAAAAAGUCUGAGUAAUAU